AGAGUUUGAUCCUGGCUCAGGACGAACGCUGGCGGCGCGCCUAACACAUGCAAGUCGAACGAGCGAGAGAGAGCUUGCUUUCUCGAGCGAGUGGCGAACGGGUGAGUAACGCGUGAGGAACCUGCCUCAAAGAGGGGGACAACAGUUGGAAACGACUGCUAAUACCGCAUAAGCCCACAGCUCGGCAUCGAGCAGAGGGAAAAGGAGCAAUCCGCUUUGAGAUGGCCUCGCGUCCGAUUAGCUAGUUGGUGAGGUAAUGGCCCACCAAGGCGACGAUCGGUAGCCGGACUGAGAGGUUGAACGGCCACAUUGGGACUGAGACACGGCCCAGACUCCUACGGGAGGCAGCAGUGGGGAAUAUUGCACAAUGGGGGAAACCCUGAUGCAGCGACGCCGCGUGGAGGAAGAAGGUCUUCGGAUUGUAAACUCCUGUUGUUGAGGAAGAUAAUGACGGUACUCAACAAGGAAGUGACGGCUAACUACGUGCCAGCAGCCGCGGUAAAACGUAGGUCACAAGCGUUGUCCGGAAUUACUGGGUGUAAAGGGAGCGCAGGCGGGAAGACAAGUUGGAAGUGAAAUCUAUGGGCUCAACCCAUAAACUGCUUUCAAAGCUGUUUUUCUUGAGUAGUGCAGAGGUAGGCGGAAUUCCCGGUGUAGCGGUGGAAUGCGUAGAUAUCGGGAGGAACACCAGUGGCGAAGGCGGCCUACUGGGCACCAACUGACGCUGAGGCUCGAAAGUGUGGGUAGCAAACAGGAUUAGAUACCCUGGUAGUCCACACCGUAAACGAUGAUUACUAGGUGUUGGAGGAUUGACCCCUUCAGUGCCGCAGUUAACACAAUAAGUAAUCCACCUGGGGAGUACGACCGCAAGGUUGAAACUCAAAGGAAUUGACGGGGGCCCGCACAAGCAGUGGAGUAUGUGGUUUAAUUCGACGCAACGCGGAGAACCUUACCAAGUCUUGACAUCCCUUGACGAUACUGGAAACAGUAUUUCUCUUCGGAGCAAGGAGACAGGUGGUGCAUGGUUGUCGUCAGCUCGUGUCGUGAGAUGUUGGGUUAAGUCCCGCAACGAGCGCAACCCUUACUGUCAGUUACUACGCAAGAGGACUCUGGCAGGACUGCCGUUGACAAAACGGAGGAAGGUGGGGAUGACGUCAAAUCAUCAUGCCCUUUAUGACUUGGGCUACACACGUACUACAAUGGCGUUAAACAAAGAGAAGCAAGACCGCGAGGUGGAGCAAAACUCAGAAACAACGUCCCAGUUCGGACUGCAGGCUGCAACUCGCCUGCACGAAGUCGGAAUUGCUAGUAAUCGUGGAUCAGCAUGCCACGGUGAAUACGUUCNCCGGGCCCUUGUACACACCGCCCGUNNC
RNAcentral lists this ribosomal RNA (1373 nucleotides) under uncultured bacterium. RNAcentral describes it as "bacterial SSU rRNA". It matches the Rfam family "Bacterial small subunit ribosomal RNA". The record is from RNAcentral.